AAUAAGAACCUUGGGCAUGUUACUCUACUGUUUCCAAUUUCUAGAAAAAUUCUUGGUCCUGAUCCCUAUGAAAUGUAAAAAUAGGGGGAAUUAUCUGUAACACCCCACGCCCCAUAUUGAAAAAGGGACUUUUGAUCUGAUAAGUAUAUAAGUGCCUUAGUGAACUACUACUAACACCUAAGGGUUGACUUCUGGGUUAUGUGGUUUGGCCCAGCCCAAACCCAAUCGUUUGGCUUGUAGUCCACGCAGACUAGGGUCAUGAUAUUAUCCAAUGGCUGUACAGUGUAGACUGAAUUAAAUAUGCAAGCGUCACUUUUUAAACAUUGCAUUGCCACAGAAGAAAUAAUCUAGAG
Molecule: unclassified non-coding RNA, 353 nt
Filed under: Hevea brasiliensis (rubber tree)
Lineage: Eukaryota; Viridiplantae; Streptophyta; Magnoliopsida; Malpighiales; Euphorbiaceae
Source: RNAcentral